GACGAACCGUGCGAACGUUGUUCGGAUUCACUGGGCUUAAAGGGCGCGUAGGCGGCUGCUCAAGUCGGGGGUGAAAUCUUUCAGCUCAACUGGAAAAUAGCCUCCGAUACUGUGCGGCUUGAGGGAGAUAGGGGCACGCGGAACUUCCGGUGGAGCGGUGAAAUGCGUAGAUAUCGGAAGGAACGCCGGUGGCGAAAGCGGCGUGCUGGAUCUCUUCUGACGCUGAGGCGCGAAAGCCAGGGGAGCGAACGGG
This 253-nucleotide ribosomal RNA is filed under the name uncultured bacterium. RNAcentral's name for it is "partial 16S ribosomal RNA". It matches the Rfam family "Bacterial small subunit ribosomal RNA", at positions 524 to 776 of the family's 1533-position model. The record is from RNAcentral.